This 1181-nucleotide ribosomal RNA is filed under the name uncultured Brooklawnia sp. Its description in RNAcentral is "bacterial SSU rRNA". It matches the Rfam family "Bacterial small subunit ribosomal RNA", at positions 162 to 1356 of the family's 1533-position model. The record is from RNAcentral. Lineage: Bacteria; Bacillati; Actinomycetota; Actinomycetes; Propionibacteriales; Propionibacteriaceae.
GCUAAUACCGGAUAUUCAGCUCCUGUCGCAUGGUGGGGGUUGGAAAGUUUUGGUGGUGGAGGAUGGGCUCGCGUCCUAUCAGCUUGUUGGUGGGGGUGAUGGCCUACCAAGGCGUCGACGGGUAGCCGGCCUGAGAGGGCGACCGGCCACAUUGGGACUGAGAUACGGCCCAAACUCCUACGGGAGGCAGCAGUGGGGAAUAUUGCACAAUGGGCGGAAGCCUGAUGCAGCAACGCCGCGUGCGGGAUGACGGCCUUCGGGUUGUAAACCGCUUUCAGCAGGGACGAAGCGCAAGUGACGGUACCUGCAGAAGAAGCACCGGCUAACUACGUGCCAGCAGCCGCGGUGAUACGUAGGGUGCGAGCGUUGUCCGGAUUUAUUGGGCGUAAAGAGCUUGUAGGCGGUUGGUUGCGUCGAAAGUGCAAACUCAGGGCUUAACUCUGAGCCUGCUUUCGAUACGGGCUGACUGGAGGAAGGUAGGGGAGAAUGGAAUUCCCGGUGGAGCGGUGGAAUGCGCAGAUAUCGGGAGGAACACCAGUGGCGAAGGCGGUUCUCUGGACCUUUCCUGACGCUGAGAAGCGAAAGCGUGGGGAGCAAACAGGCUUAGAUACCCUGGUAGUCCACGCUGUAAACGGUGGGUACUAGGUGUGGGGGACAUUCCACGUUCUCUGUGCCGUAGCUAACGCAUUAAGUACCCCGCCUGGGGAGUACGGCCGCAAGGCUAAAACUCAAAGGAAUUGACGGGGCCCCGCACAAGCGGCGGAGCAUGCGGAUUAAUUCGAUGCAACGCGAAGAACCUUACCUGGGUUUGACAUAUAUCGGAAACGUUCAGAGAUGGGCGCCCCGUAAGGUCGGUAUACAGGUGGUGCAUGGCUGUCGUCAGCUCGUGUCGUGAGAUGUUGGGUUAAGUCCCGCAACGAGCGCAACCCUCGUCCAAUGUUGCCAGCGGGUUAUGCCGGGGACUCAUUGGAGACCGCCGGGGUCAACUCGGAGGAAGGUGGGGAUGACGUCAAGUCAUCAUGCCCCUUAUGUCCAGGGCUUCACGCAUGCUACAAUGGCCGGUACAAAGAGUUGCGAGCCUGUGAGGGUGAGCGAAUCUCAAAAAGCCGGUCUCAGUUCGGAUUGGGGUCUGCAACUCGACCCCAUGAAGUCGGAGUCGCUAGUAAUCGCAGAUCAGCAAC